AGUGGAGACUGCGCAGUCUCGGGUCUCAGCACCAUGGAAACGCUUGCUGGGCCUGGGGCGACAAUGGCGGCUUGGUCUGUUUUAACUGCUAGGGCUCUGACUACUUUCCUCAUGUUGGUCCUCCCUCGCGUCUCACAGGCUCCGACUUUCUCCUUUCCUUUCCAGCAGCCAGAGACAUGCAGCCACAACCAGUACUUCGAUAUCUCGGCGCUGUCCUGUGUCUCGUGUAGAGCCAACCAGAAGCAGGAUGCUCGAGGAACUUCAUGUGUGUGCUUACCAGGAUUUCAGAUGAUUUCUAAUAAUGGAGGACCUGACAUUAUUUGUAAAAAGUGUCCAGAAAACAUGAAUGGUAUUACUGAAGAUGGCUGGAACUGCAUUUCUUGCCCUAAUGGCUUAACUGCAGAAGGAAAAUGCCACUGUCCCACUGGCCAUAUUUUAGUGGAAAGAGAUGUUAAUGGAUCAUUGUUAUCUCAAGCAACUUGUGUGCUUUGUGAUGGAAAUGAAAACUCUUUUACCAUAGCCAAUGCUUUAGGAAACACAUGUGUCCGAUGUGAACCAACAUUCAUUAAUGCCAGCAGGUCCUGUGAAUGUUCAGAACCUAACAUUCUAACAGGGGCAUUAUGUUUCAGCAGCUCAGGGAGGUUUCCUCCACGUGUAAUUUCAGCUGCACGCCAGGGAGAGCCUGGGAUGUCUUUCAUUUCAGAAUGGUUUGCAAAGUAUUUGCAGUCAGCAGCAGCUGCAUGUUGGGUGUACACCAACCUGACAUCUUGCCAAGCUCUUGGUAAUAUGUGUGUGAUGAAUAUGAAUUCUUAUGACUCUGCCCUUGAUGCAUGUUGGCUGUUUCAGUUUAUCUUUGAAAAUACUGCUGGACUGAGCACUGUGCAUUCCAUUUCAUUUUGGAGACAGAAUCUUCCGUGGCUGUUUUAUGGAGACCAGUCAGGACUGGCACCUCAAAUACUCAGUAGUACACCUCUCCCUACAAAUUUCAGUUUUAAAGGACAAAGCCAGACUACAGAACUGAAGUUUGUUGCUGCUUCCUAUGACAUAAGGGGAAAUUUUCUUAAAUGGCAAACUUUAGAGGGAGGUGUUUUACAGCUUUGUCCAGACACAGAGGCAAGACUAAAUGCUGCUUAUUCUUUUGGAACAACCUAUCAACAAAAUUGUGAGAUUUCUCUUUCUAAGAUCCUAACUGACUUUCCCACUCCUGUAUUUUAUGAUAUUUACCUUGAAUAUACUGAUGAAAAUGAACAACAAAAUAUUUGGGCUGUACCUGUGUUAAACUUAAAUCUUCAACACUACAAAAUGUUUGUGAAUCAAGACAGUAGCUCUAGCAAGUGGCUUCUGACUCGGCGCAUUUUCUUAGUGGAUGCAGUAAGCGGACGGGAAAAUGACUUAGGAAAUCAGCCAAGAGUAAUUCGAAUUGCUACCCAGAUAUCACUGAGCAUCCACCUUGUACCUGACACAAAAAAUGGAAACAUAUACCCUCCCUUAAUCACAAUCGCCUACAGUGACAUUGACGUCAAAGAUCCCUACAGCCAAUCUGUAAAAAUUUCUUUCUCAGUCAAAUAUGAAAUGAAUCAAGGAGAAGCAUUUAUCCAGACAGAUAUUGCCUUGGGUGUGUUGGGCGGGCUAGCUGUUUUAUCAUCUCUUUUGAAGACAGCGGGGUGGAAGAGGCGCAUUGGGAGUCCCAUGAUUGAUCUACAGACCGUUAUGAAGUUCUUGGUGUACUAUGCUGGCAAUCUGGCCAAUGUCUUUUUUAUCGUCACAAUGGGAACAGGUCUUUAUUGGCUUAUUUUUUUCAAAGCACAGAAGUCUGUAUCUGUUUUGCUGCCAGUGCCAGCUCAAGAAGAACGCUUUGUUACUUAUGUGGGAUGUGCUUUUGCUCUGAAGGCUCUGCGAUUUUUGCAUAAACUCAUAUCCCAGAUUACCAUAGAUAUAUUCUUUAUUGAUUGGGAGCGGCCUAAAGGAAAAGUUCUUAAAGCUGUUGAAGGUGAAGGCGGUGUACGGAGUGCCACUGUUCCUGUAAGCAUUUGGAGAACAUAUUUUGUAGCAAAUGAAUGGAAUGAGAUUCAGACUGUGAGGAAAAUUAAUCCACUCUUUCAAGUACUUACUGUUGUCUUCUUUUUGGAGAUUGUGGGAUUCAAGAACUUAGCCUUGAUGGACUCAUCCUCAAGUCUUUCUAGAAGCCCAUCUAGCUACAUACCUCCUUAUAGCCGCAUACUGAGGUAUGCUGUGUCUACUACUCUUUGGUUGGUCAUUGGAGUUGUACAGAUCGUGUUCUUUGCUGGCUUUUAUGAGCGAUUCGUAGAGGAUAAAAUUCGACAGUUUGUUGAUUUAUGCUCAGUGAGUAAUAUAUCAGUGUUUUUGCUAUCCUACAAAUGUUUUGGAUAUUACAUUCAUGGCAGAUCAAUACAUGGGUAUGCGGAUACUAAUAUGGAAGAAAUGAAUAUGAAUCUUAAAAGAGAAGCGGAAAAUUUGUGUAGCCAAAGAGGUUUGGUACCCAACACAGAUGGUCAGACUUUUCAGAUUGCAAUUUCCAGCCAGAUGAGACAGCAUUAUGACAGGAUUCAUGAGACGCUCACAAGGAAAAAUGGCCCUGCUAGACUAUUGAGUUCAUCUGCAAGUACUUUUGAACAGAGUAUAAAAGCAUAUCAUGCGAUGAAUAAAUUUCUUGGUUCUUUCAUCGAUCAUGUUCAUAAGGAAAUGGAUUACAUUAUAAAAGAUAAAUUGCUUCUUGAAAGAAUUCUUGGGAUGGAAUUCAUGGAACCAAUGGAAAAAAGCAUCUUUUACAAUGAUGAAAGUUACUCUUUCAGCCGUAUGCUGUAUUAUGGAAAUGAAGCCACUCUUCUUAUUUUCGACCUGUUGUUCUUCUGUGUUGUGGAUUUGGCUUGCCAGAACUUUAUUUUAGCAGCCUUCCUGACAUACCUACAACAAGAGGAAUUUCUGUGAGGACAACAAACCCAUUGGAUGGCUGAGGAUAAUUUCUCCAUCUCAAGAUCAUUAAUUUAAUUACAUCUGCAGAGCCCAUUUUGCCAUGUAAGAACACUGGCUUGAUUUGGGAUGAAAUAUGCUGAAUUUCUGCUUUGGGCUGAUGGAUGUAUUUACUUCAUGGUAGCCAAAGAAUAAUCAGCAGGCGUCUGCUAAAUAAGGAUCCUGAAAGGCUAUUGGUUUCAUCAUAAGAAGAACACUGUUUCCCUGCUGUGAUGGUGUCCUGACUGCCAUGAAGUAGACAGCUUUGCACCCCUGCCCCUCAGCCUUGAUGUCUCUGCCUUGGGGCCAGCGGCUCAUGGACUGAAACUAAUAUGCAUUGCAGAGCUCACCUUGUAUCACCAACAGCCCCCUCCACGUGGGUCUCAAACAGAACAGCAGCCUUAUGUCUCCCACCUUCCAGAAAGUGAAAGCAACUGCAAGCAAUUCCUGUUCAAGCUACAUGCAGUGCUGAGUAUCUACAUCCCCAACUGCUUGAGCAGCUGAGGCAGGAGGAUCACCUGAGCCCAGGAAAUCAAGGCCAGCCUGAGCAACAGAGCAAGACUCUACAUCUUGUAAAUGGAAAAAGGAAGGAAGAAAGAAAGAUAUCUCCUUCAAGAGUACACACUAGGCAAACUCCACUUGCUGAAAGCUUCUCCCAUUUGUGAUGGCCUUGAGGAGAUCACUCAGGUCAAGUCCUUAACAUGGCUUCAUGAUUUACCCCGAUCACUUCUUCAGCUUCUUCUCUCUUCAUUGUUCCAUCCAGGCUCAAGCUCUAAGUGCCGCAGACCCCAGAAUAAAUCUCUGGAAUGAGUCCAUUGGUCACCUAACCAGUCUGUCUGUCUGCUCUCCCUGUUUCACUCCCUUCUUGAUGACUCAGACUUGAAUGAUCUCCUUCUGAGAGCUCUCUCGUUUCAGCUGCCUCAUCCCAACUCAUCUUUUGGAGCUAAUUUAGACUCUCCUCACAGGGCUUUCUUGACCCUCCAUGACAAGGCCAAGGGUCCCUUUCCUGAGACCCCACAGCAUUCCCACUCCCUUCUUCAAAGCAUUUAUCGUGGUAUCAGUCUUAACCUGUUUUCUUGCCUGCUUCCGUGAAAGGACUGAGACUUCUGUCAGGACAGAGGCCAUCUCCAUCUAUCUGUCAUUUUUACAAAAUUGCAUCUCCAGCACUGUAACAGUAUUUUGCACAUAUUUUACAUUUAUUUGUAUUAUUUUUUAUUAUCUUGUCUUGUACGUUAUGUAUUUCCACAGAGGAGCCUUUAGCUGGGGAUUCAGCUCAGUGGU
Fukomys damarensis (Damara mole-rat) is the source of this 4251-nucleotide RNA transcript. It is a transcript of the gene named transmembrane protein 67, with no coding region annotated. The transcript is spliced from 32 exons. NCBI's taxonomy places the organism in Eukaryota, Metazoa, Chordata, Mammalia, Rodentia, Bathyergidae. The record is from RefSeq and is a predicted model, not a curated record.